This 1131-nucleotide long non-coding RNA is filed under the name Anolis carolinensis (green anole). RNAcentral's name for it is "lncRNA (ENSACAG00000042799.1)". The record is from RNAcentral. Lineage: Eukaryota; Metazoa; Chordata; Lepidosauria; Squamata; Anolidae.
AUGGGAGUUUUUUUAAAAGUGAAAUACUCAAGGUGCAAAUGCAAACAGUGCCAACAAAGAAAAAAAAAUAUGACAAGUGCAAAGAAGCCAGAAUGGAUGUCCAAAGAACUUCUAACUGAGCUAAGACUCAAAAGAGACAUGCACAAGAAGUGGAAAGGGGGAGAAAUCACCAAAGAAGAAUUCAAAUGUAUAGACAACUUCUGUAGAGAAAAUGUUCGCAAGGCUAAAGUGCAAAAUGAGCUCAGGCUUGCCAGGGACAUUAAAAACAACAAAAAAGGCUUUUUUGCAUACGUUGGUAGAAAAAGGAAGAACAAGGAGGCGAUAGGGCCUCUGCGAGGAGAAGAUGGGGUGAUGGCGACAGGGAACAGGGAAAAGGCAGAACUGCUUAAUGCCUUCUUUGCCUCGGUCUUCUCACAAAAAGAAAGCCAUCUUCAACCUCAGCAACAUGAAAUGGACAAAGGAUUCGGGGAAAUCCAACCCCAAAUAGGGAGGCAAGUUGUCCAGGAACACCUGGCCGCUCUAAACGAAUUCAAGUCCCCAGGGCCAGAUCAGCUACAUCCAAGAGUAUUGAAGGAACUAGCUGAGGUUAUUUCUGAACCACUGACAAUUAUCUUCGAGAGUUCUUGGAGAACAGGAGAAGUCCCAGAAGAUUGGAGGAGGGCGAAUGUGGUCCCUAUUUUCAAGAAGGGAAAAAAGAACGACCCAAACAAUUACCGUCCGGUCAGCCUCACAUCAAUACCAGGCAAGAUUCUGGAAAAGAUCAUUAAGAAAGUGGUCUGCAAACACUUAGAAACAAAUGUGGUCAUCGCUAAUAGUCAACACGGAUUUACCAAAAACAAGUCAUGCCAGACUAAUCUGAUCUCUUUUUUCAAUAGAGUUACGAGUUGGAUCGAUACAGGGAAUGCCAUGGAUGUAGCGUACCUAGAUUUCAGUAAGGCCUUCGACAAAGUCCCUCACGAUCUUCUGGCAAACAAACUAGUAAAAUGUGGGCUAAACAAAACUACGGUUAGGUGGAUCUGUAAUUGGCUAAGCAAACGAACCCAAGGGUGCUCACCAAUGUGUCGUCUUCAUCUUGGAAGAAGUCACGAGUGGAGUGCCGCAGGGCUCCAUCCUGGGCCCCGGUCUGUUUAA